CCNNAGAGGGUUCGGCCCUCGGCUGACGGCUCUCUANCACGUGGAUAAUCUGCCCUUAGGUGGAGGAUAAUCUCGGGAAACUGAGGACAAUACUCCAUAGGUCUAGGAGGCUGGAAUGCAUCUAGACUAAAAGUUCCGGCGCCUAAGGAUGAGUCUGCGGGCUAUCAGGUUGUAGUCAGGGUAAAGGCCUGACUAGCCUACGACGGAUAUGGGUUGUGAGAGCAAUAACCCAGAGACGAUAUCUGAGACACGAUAUCGGGCCCUACGGGGCGCAGCAGGCGCGAAAACUUCACACUGUGCGAGAGCACGAUGAGGGAAUCCCAAGUGCCAGCACGUAAGUGUUGGCUGUUUCUCUGUCUAAAAAACAGAGAGAGUAAGAGCUGGGUAAGACGGGUGCCAGCCGCCGCGGUAAUACCUGCAGCUCAAGUGGUGGCCGCUAUUAUUGGGCCUAAAACGUCCGUAGCCGGUUUAGUAAUGCCUGGGUAAAUCGUGUAG
This 495-nucleotide ribosomal RNA is filed under the name uncultured archaeon. RNAcentral describes it as "bacterial SSU rRNA". It matches the Rfam family "Archaeal small subunit ribosomal RNA", at positions 58 to 557 of the family's 1478-position model. The record is from RNAcentral.